GCAGAGGUGGCGGAACAGGCAGACGCGCACGUUUGAGGGGCGUGUGGGAUGACCGUGGGGGUUCGAAUCCCCUCCUCUGCA
This 81-nucleotide transfer RNA is filed under the name Clostridium tepidiprofundi DSM 19306. It matches the Rfam family "tRNA". Rfam says of the family: Transfer RNA (tRNA) molecules are approximately 80 nucleotides in length. Their secondary structure includes four short double-helical elements and three loops (D, anti-codon, and T loops). Further hydrogen bonds mediate the characteristic L-shaped molecular structure. tRNAs have two regions of fundamental functional importance: the anti-codon, which is responsible for specific mRNA codon recognition, and the 3' end, to which the tRNAs corresponding amino acid is attached (by aminoacyl-tRNA synthetases). tRNAs cope with the degeneracy of the genetic code in two manners: having more than one tRNA (with a specific anti-codon) for a particular amino acid; and 'wobble' base-pairing, i.e. permitting non-standard base-pairing at the 3rd anti-codon position. Lineage: Bacteria; Bacillati; Bacillota; Clostridia; Eubacteriales; Clostridiaceae. The record is from Rfam by way of RNAcentral.